RNAcentral lists this ribosomal RNA (491 nucleotides) under uncultured bacterium. Its description in RNAcentral is "partial 16S ribosomal RNA". It matches the Rfam family "Bacterial small subunit ribosomal RNA", at positions 29 to 507 of the family's 1533-position model. The record is from RNAcentral.
AGUGAACGCUGGCGGUAGGCCUAACACAUGCAAGUCGAACGGCAGCACAGUAAGAGCUUGCUCUUACGGGUGGCGAGUGGCGGACGUGUGAGGAAUAUAUCGGAAUCUACUUUUUCGUGGGGAUAACGUAGGGUAACUUACGCUAAUACUGCAUACGACCUAUGGGUGAAAGCAGGUGAUCUUUGUACCCUGCGCGAUUGAAUGAGCCGAGGUCGGAUUAGCUAGUUGGCGGGGUAAAGGGCCACGAAGGCGACGAUUCGCAGGUCGUCUGAGAGGAUGGUCAGCCACACUGGAACUGGGACAGGGUCCGGACUACUACGGGACGCAGCAGUGGGGAACAUUGGACAAUGGGCGCAAGCCUGAUCCAGCCAUACCGCGUGGGUGAAGAAGGCCUUCGGUUUGUAAAGCCCUUUUGUUGGGAAAGAAAAGCAGCAGGUUAAUACCACGCGGUUCUGACGGUACCCAAUGAAUAAGCACCGGCUAACUUCGUG